RNAcentral lists this ribosomal RNA (257 nucleotides) under Salmonella enterica subsp. enterica serovar Kentucky. RNAcentral describes it as "partial 23S ribosomal RNA". It matches the Rfam family "Bacterial large subunit ribosomal RNA", at positions 1 to 249 of the family's 2925-position model. The record is from RNAcentral. Lineage: Bacteria; Pseudomonadati; Pseudomonadota; Gammaproteobacteria; Enterobacterales; Enterobacteriaceae.
GGGUUGUGAGGUUAAGCGACUAAGCGUACACGGUGGAUGCCCUGGCAGUCAGAGGCGAUGAAGGACGUGCUAAUCUGCGAUAAGCGUCGGUAAGGUGAUAUGAACCGUUAUAACCGGCGAUUUCCGAAUGGGGAAACCCAGUGUGAUUCGUCACACUAUCGUUAACUGAAUACAUAGGUUAACGAAGCGAACCGGGGGAACUGAAACAUCUAAGUACCCCGAGGAAAAGAAAUCAACCGAGAUUCCCCCAGUAGCGG